UGGGGAAUAUUGCACAAUGGGCGAAAGCCUGAUGCAGCGACGCCGCGUGAGGGAUGACGGCCUUCGGGUUGUAAACCUCUUUCAGUAGGGACGAAGCGCAAGUGACGGUACCUGCAGAAGAAGCACCGGCUAACUACGUGCCAGCAGCCGCGGUAAUACGUAGGGUGCGAGAGUUGUCCGGAAUUACUGGGCGUAAAGAGCUCGUAGGCGGUUUGUCACGUCGUCUGUGAAAUCCUAGGGCUUAACCCUGGACGUGCAGGCGAUACGGGCUGACUUGAGUACUACAGGGGAGACUGGAAUUUCUGGUGUAGCGGUGGAAUGCACAGAUAUCAGGAAGAACACCGAUGGCGAAGGCAGGUCUCUGGGUAGUAACUGACGCUGAGGAGCGAAAGCAUGGGUAGCGAACAGG
RNAcentral lists this ribosomal RNA (409 nucleotides) under bacterium. Its description in RNAcentral is "partial 16S ribosomal RNA". It matches the Rfam family "Bacterial small subunit ribosomal RNA", at positions 355 to 776 of the family's 1533-position model. The record is from RNAcentral.